GCUGGCGGCGUGCUUAACACAUGCAAGUCGAACGGAAAGGCCCUGCUUUUGUGGGGUGCUCGAGUGGCGAACGGGUGAGUAACACGUGAGUAACCUGCCCUUGACUUUGGGAUAACUUCAGGAAACUGGGGCUAAUACCGGAUAGGAGCUCCUGCUGCAUGGUGGGGGUUGGAAAGUUUCGGCGGUUGGGGAUGGACUCGCGGCUUAUCAGCUUGUUGGUGGGGUAGUGGCUUACCAAGGCUUUGACGGGUAGCCGGCCUGAGAGGGUGACCGGCCACAUUGGGACUGAGAUACGGCCCAGACUCCUACGGGAGGCAGCAGUGGGGAAUAUUGCACAAUGGGCGGAAGCCUGAUGCAGCAACGCCGCGUGCGGGAUGACGGCCUUCGGGUUGUAAACCGCUUUCGCCUGUGACGAAGCGUGAGUGACGGUAAUGGGUAAAGAAGCACCGGCUAACUACGUGCCAGCAGCCGCGGUGAUACGUAGGGUGCGAGCGUUGUCCGGAUUUAUUGGGCGUAAAGGGCUCGUAGGUGGUUGAUCGCGUCGGAAGUGUAAUCUUGGGGCUUAACCCUGAGCGUGCUUUCGAUACGGGUUGACUUGAGGAAGGUAGGGGAGAAUGGAAUUCCUGGUGGAGCGGUGGAAUGCGCAGAUAUCAGGAGGAACACCAGUGGCGAAGGCGGUUCUCUGGGCCUUUCCUGACGCUGAGGAGCGAAAGCGUGGGGAGCGAACAGGCUUAGAUACCCUGGUAGUCCACGCUGUAAACGGUGGGUACUAGGUGUGGGGUCCAUUCCACGGGUUCCGUGCCGUAGCUAACGCUUUAAGUACCCCGCCUGGGGAGUACGGCCGCAAGGCUAAAACUCAAAGGAAUUGACGGGGCCCCGCACAAGCGGCGGAGCAUGCGGAUUAAUUCGAUGCAACGCGUAGAACCUUACCUGGGUUUGACAUGGAUCGGGAGUGCUCAGAGAUGGGUGUGCCUCUUUUGGGGUCGGUUCACAGGUGGUGCAUGGCUGUCGUCAGCUCGUGUCGUGAGAUGUUGGGUUAAGUCCCGCAACGAGCGCAACCCUUGUUCACUGUUGCCAGCACGUUAUGGUGGGGACUCAGUGGAGACCGCCGGGGUCAACUCGGAGGAAGGUGGGGAUGACGUCAAGUCAUCAUGCCCCUUAUGUCCAGGGCUUCACGCAUGCUACAAUGGCUGGUACAGAGAGUGGCGAGCCUGUGAGGGUGAGCGAAUCUCGGAAAGCCGGUCUCAGUUCGGAUUGGGGUCUGCAACUCGACCUCAUGAAGUCGGAGUCGCUAGUAAUCGCAGAUCAGCAACGCUGCGGUGAAUACGUUCCCGGGGCUUGUACACACCGCCCGUCAAGUCAUGAAAGUUGGUAACACCCGAAGCCGGUGGCCUAACCGUUGUGGGGGAGCCGUCGAAGGUGGGACUGGUGAUUAGGA
Molecule: ribosomal RNA, 1438 nt
Filed under: uncultured organism
Description: partial small subunit ribosomal RNA
Rfam family: Bacterial small subunit ribosomal RNA
Source: RNAcentral